AGUGGGAUGGCCGAGCGGUUAAAGGCGGCGGACUGUAAAUCCGUUGUUAUUCGUAACACGCGGGUUCAAAUCCCGCUCCCACCA
RNAcentral lists this transfer RNA (84 nucleotides) under Protostelium mycophagum. RNAcentral describes it as "tRNA-Tyr". It matches the Rfam family "tRNA". From Rfam's summary of the family: Transfer RNA (tRNA) molecules are approximately 80 nucleotides in length. Their secondary structure includes four short double-helical elements and three loops (D, anti-codon, and T loops). Further hydrogen bonds mediate the characteristic L-shaped molecular structure. tRNAs have two regions of fundamental functional importance: the anti-codon, which is responsible for specific mRNA codon recognition, and the 3' end, to which the tRNAs corresponding amino acid is attached (by aminoacyl-tRNA synthetases). tRNAs cope with the degeneracy of the genetic code in two manners: having more than one tRNA (with a specific anti-codon) for a particular amino acid; and 'wobble' base-pairing, i.e. permitting non-standard base-pairing at the 3rd anti-codon position. The record is from RNAcentral. Lineage: Eukaryota; Evosea; Variosea; Protosteliida; Protosteliaceae.